Long non-coding RNA from Myotis brandtii (Brandt's bat), 4073 nucleotides. RefSeq lists it as uncharacterized. The transcript has 2 exons. Lineage: Eukaryota; Metazoa; Chordata; Mammalia; Chiroptera; Vespertilionidae. The record is from RefSeq and is a predicted model, not a curated record.
GGAUUUAUUUUAUUCCUUAUAGGGGCUUUCACAGCUUGAUGGCUGUUGGAUAUUUAUGUCCCCAAACUUGCAGCAAGUUUGGUGAAGGCCCCUACAUUUAAUUAAACGUAGGAUUUUUAUACUCUUUUGGCAGAGAAGGCUCUAUAUUAAUAUUCACGUUUAACUGUGGUGUUAAUAAACAUAAAUAAGAAGCAUUGGAUAUACGUAAUUUGUGUUACGUUAUACUUAAAAGCCUCAGUAAAGCUGGCAUUGCAAUAUUGCAGUUUUGUAAAUUGAAAAAAUUUGACAUUUUUGAUUUGGAGGCAUGAAAUAUUUCAAACAAAUUUUCCACUUUCAAUUUUUAGGAAAAUCAUACUGGUUAUUUUCUCUCGAAACUAUUAAAUUUAACCUCAAGGAUAAGUUUGAUUAUUGGAAAUGCUACUGGGUACUGAAAUACAUAUUCUUAAUCCCAACGUUAUGCAUUGAGCAUUAAGGUUGAAAGGUCAUCUGGAAAUGCUUGUGAUUUUUAAUAUUUUUCAAACCUCACCACAUUAGAGCAAAUGUUAAUGUAGAGCCCUGGGAAAAGUGGGAAGGUGGUAUGUGUGUGGUAUGUAUGCGUAUACACUACACAUUGGAGAUAGUGAAAGUUUGGGUAUAACAGACCUGUCAGUAUGGCUAGAUUACUAAUUUUCAGGUAGCCAAGUGAAAAUCGUAUCGUGGUAAAAUCAGUGUAUUGAACUGUGGAUUCGAAACAAUUAUUUUGAGGUUCAUUUUCAGUCUUAGUGAACAAUAUUUUAUACAAACUACAUACAUGAGAAGUAUCCAUGUUUGUUUCCCAACUAAAGUUUGCUUUAAGUUGGUGAGAAAAGAUGAGUUUAUGCCUGUAUAUUGUAGGAGAUAAAAAGGGAACUGGAAGAGAGGCCAAAACACAAACCUGGGUUUUGUUUCUUCCUGUGUUUGAGACACCAUUCUAUCCAGAUAGCAUUUUCGUCUGAACAGUAACAAUUCACAUAUAGUACAACGUUUUUCACAAACCUGGUAUUGUGUUUCUAUGUGGUUUUAAUUCAAAGCAUAAAGAAAAAAAAAUGCAUUAAAUGAAUUCCAAGAUUUCACCUGGUUAAUUAACUUUCAUGUGCUUUUCUCUGUGACUGAAUCAUGGGGGAAUAGAUUUAAAUGUUUGAAUAGGAGAAUUUUGUCGUGAAAGUAUUCCACUGAAAUAUUUUAUAAUCUACUCAAUAAUUAUACAUUUUAAGACUCCAUAUUUGGAGUUGUUUUCUGUUGCACCACCAUUUCCCAAUAUACUGAAAUAUUUUAAGAGCAAAGCUGCUUGUUCUGAUAGGGGUAAUUGAAAUAAUUAUAAUUCAAAUAGGCUCUUACAUACUUGUAGCAGAGGUAAGAGGGGUUUUCUUAAGGGUGGCAUAAUGAUAUCUCUGUAGUUCUGUGACUCAAUACGAUUUUAAUAAUUACAUAACUUUCGAGUGUUUAUUACGUUCACUGGUAAAACUUGAUAAAUAAAAGGAAAUGUUGAAGUUACCUCUUUAUUGAGAUAAAAUAUACACUUGUGUUGGUUAGGAGAUUCUAAAAAAUUCAACAUGUACCCUAAAAAUUGUAUAAAUCAGGCAUGUCUUUUUUAAAAGGUGGUAUUUACCUGUUUGUAAUUCCAAAAUGAAACCUGUUUUAUCUCACUGUAACUAUGGAAAAGUCUUCUAAAACGAGGGAGGGGUUCAGUUCUAAAACUAUUGACUAUAAAGCAGAUUUUUGUAAGUAAACAUUUCCCCAGUUAUAUUUCUGCUUGCUGUCUCAUGGCUUGAAUAUUAGUGAAGGGUACUGCUUUUUUUUUAACCCUUAGUAUUUUGUCAUCUGAAUCAUUUUAAUAAAUAACCUUUUGUUUUUCUAGCAUAGAAACCAUUGAAGUUUUCUGUGUGGUAUUUAUUGGCAAAAUAAGCAGUUACUUUAGUGAUGUAUAUAUAGUGUUGUAAACAUGGUGAUUUCACAAUUUUGUAAUGUUGACUUUUCAGAACUAUUAAUAUCUUAGAUCUAGAUAUUCCCUAUUACGGAUUUAAUUAAAAAUAAUUACACAGGAUGUAGGGAAAACAGGACGUUGACCUCCCUAAUCUUCAACCUUUCCAAGUGUGUUCAUAUUCUUGACAUUUUUGUUGGAAAAUAAGUUUUAAAAGUAACAUUUUUUUAAAAACUAGAUUUCUUUAGUAAGGCUCAGAAGAUAAUUAAUUGUAUUUUAUUAGCAUUGUCUUUCUUCCCUCGGCUGUAUACAUUCUGCUUGCAUAAUUUGGCCAUAAAAGAAAGAGCUUCCCAUUUUACCAACUCUGGAAAAAUAAUAACUUAAAACUAAUAGUUUCAGAUUUUUUGAACCAUCUCUAAAUCUCUUCCAUUAGUAUAUAUCCUCAGGGGAAAAUAUAUUUCAAUAAGUAAGGUAUAGAAGUUAUAUUGAGCAGAAAUUGGAGACCUGAAGGAGAUCUUCACUGAAGCCAAUUUGAACCAUUUCUUUUUCAAGCAAAUUGGACAUUAUAAAUUAAGACUGUUUCAUGUUAGGUUCUUUAGGAGGCGUGUAAUCACCAGGUAUAUUGUGAGAAUAUGUUUGUGUAUAUGUUUAUUUUGAUGAAAUUAACUACAUAGAAGAUACAUGUGAGUAAACUUGUAAUGAUUGGUUAUUUGGACCCUACCCAUUAAUACUAAGAAGUGUAAAGUGGUGAGAUGGCACAGCUUCAGUAGCGUUCUGUGUAUUUGGUCAGGGUUUGUAUAAUGCUGUGUUUGUAAAAAGGGGAAGUCCUUUAUUGGAAUUCUUCAAGCCCUUUGGCAUUCUUAUGUGUCCGGGAUUUUUUAAAGAAUCUGUAUGCUUUCACCUUUGGUUAAUUUUUAGCAACUGACAAUGAAAUUCAUUGAUGCCCAUCGUUGAUAAAAAUGAAGAAUGUUAUGUCCUCCUCAGUGUACUGCACACAGGCUAAUAGUGAUUAUUUGGGAGAGAGACCAUUGUGUAGUUUUGCUAGACUUAAGAACUUUAAAUGUAAUGAAAGGUAAUAGCAUUUCUGCUCUUGUUUUGCAUUUAUUAUAAUACUUUCACCAAAUCAUGUUAUAAUGUAGCUCAUUCUCAAUAUUUUAUUUAUAAAUAGUCAGAGUGAAAAUAUUUGCAGCAUUAUUUCCCAGUCUCUACUCAUAAAACAACGCUGCUUAACUACCCAAGUGAUCCAACAGAAGAGUUAAUAAAGUUCUCAGCAGAAUUUCAGCAUUUGCUACUUACUGGUAGAGAAGAAAAACCCCACAGCCCUGCCAGUACAGGUUAGUUUAAUCUGUAAGUACCUGAUAUUCCUAUUUUUUUUUCCAAACAUAUCCACAUAACCCACACAAGGAAGAAAGCUGCAGUUGCUUAAAUGUGAGUAUGACUAAUAAUAGACCCAUUGGACACUUUCAAACACUCUACUUGGGCAAAUUAUUAGCUUUAGGUUUGCUAACCUCCGUUGUAAUAAAGGGUAAUACUCUUCCUUUAUUAUUUGGUUGUGGUUGAACCUAAAUAGAUAUAUUGCACAUAAAAGGAAAAGACAGUGAAAGUUUCUAUUAGCUAUAUGCUCAUUUUGGUAUGUCAUAUGGAAUGCAGGGCUUGGGUCCAGGGUCUUUUACUUAAGUCACUUCUGUGGUGGUAUUUUAUUUACCUUUCAACUUUUUACAGUAUGAAUCAACCCAAAAAGUUUCCUCACCUUUAGCAAUGAUAAGUGGUGGGUUUUUUAGCUCGUAAAAAGUUUUAGUAAUUUGGUGUAAAUAAGUACUAAUUUUGUUCAUUUUUUGUAAACUAGAACCUAUUCUGUUGGUGCACCACCAUGAUGGGUUUAUUUUACUUUGAACCAAAAAUAACAAACCUUACUUUUUAAAUAUUCAAAUGAAAGCUGACUACCCAUCAAGAAAUCUAGAUGGAUUCUCCAUGUUUCUUUUGAGGAGCAGAGAUGUAAUGGAUUGUAAAAGAUGUUCAAGUUUUUAUUAUUGUUUUCAUUGGUCUACCAUAAUUUAUUGUUGCCUUGAACCAUCAAUGAGAAAUAUCCUUUAACCUUUAAAUACUAUACUCUUAUGUUGAUAAAAAUUUAAAA